This is a long non-coding RNA of Bacillus rossius redtenbacheri, 1096 nucleotides long. RefSeq lists it as uncharacterized. The record is from RefSeq and is a predicted model, not a curated record. The transcript is spliced from 3 exons. NCBI's taxonomy places the organism in Eukaryota, Metazoa, Arthropoda, Insecta, Phasmatodea, Bacillidae.
AUUCUGUCUCGCGACUUUGAAGUGAGAGGGUUUUAUGAUAGGCUGCACUUUUCGAAGUUAGGAAGUUUACUAAAGUACAUAAAUCUACUUACCUAAUGGUGCCGUGGGUUUGCUGUACUUUUAACUCUAUACACAUUUUGAAGAUAGAACAUGGAACGAAACAAGAUUUCUUCUAAUGGGUAACAGUGGUGGUAAAUGGUCCCAAUGGGGGACUCUGCCGAAUCUACCGACCACCAGGUGCAGAUGAUGUAUACAAGAGCACAUGGUUUGCUUUUGACAGUUUGAAAUUUCUUUUUGACAAGAACAACCCACGCCAGACUGAGCAGGAUGGCAACCGGUGACGAAAAUGCGACGACCUGAAAAUGAACAAGUGCCACAAUCCCCUGGCAGCAGUUUUUCCGAACGCUCGGGAAUUACUUGAACGCCACAGCCCACACCGAAUAACCGCAAGAGAAAAUCUGUCAAUGAUGAUCGUCUUGACAAAGCGUUCAGUAUUAUUGCAGCUUACAGCAAUGAACAGAAUGAUGAAUGCCAGUCAUUUGGUAAUUUUGUCACGAUGAAGCUUCGAUCAUUCACUGACGACGAGAGUACGCAUCUACAAGCGGACAUAAUGACAUUGUUUGUUAAGGCAAAACGUGGGUUCUACAGCUAACCUGCCAUGGCCAACCCCCCUUCAAACUUAAAAACCUCGUAUCAACGUGGAAGUUUCAAUGAACCUUUCAUAAGCACUGUACAACCACUUCAGUCUUUUGCAAACAUUUCUGCGGCGGCCAGUCCUGCUUCCGAUUCUUAAUCUGUUUCAGAGGACAGCUUGAUCAUUACAGACCUGCUGUAAAUAGGUUUUCGACCAUAUGUCUAGCAUAAUUAUUAUACAACAUGGGUAAUAAAUAAUCAAACAUGAUAAUGUAAACCUGUUAUUUGGUUUGUGCAAACUAAUUUACCUCUCCUACGCCUAACUGCAAGGCAAAUAAAUUUUGUACUCACUUGUAGUUGCUAUGAGAAUAAUGUUUGAUACCAUUUUAUAAAAUACAAUACAUUUCUUUCUCUGUGUAUGUGUUUGUAAAGACAGAUUAAAAAUUAAUAACCUGAUGUUAAA